AACGAACGCUGGCGGCAGGCUUAACACAUGCAAGUCGAACGCCCCGCAAGGGGAGUGGCAGACGGGUGUGUAACGCGUGGGAACAUACCCUUUUCUACGGAAUAGCUCUGGGAAACUGGGAUUAAUACCGUAUAAGCCCUACGGGGGAAAGAUUUAUCGGGGAAGGAUUGGCCCGCGUUGGAUUAGCUAGUUGGUGGGGUAAAGGCCUACCAAGGCGACGAUCCAUAGCUGGUCUGAGAGGAUGAUCAGCCACAUUGGGACUGAGACACGGCCCAAACUCCUACGGGAGGCAGCAGUGGGGAAUAUUGGACAAUGGGCGCAAGCCUGAUCCAGCCAUGCCGCGUGAGUGAUGAAGGCCUUAGGGUUGUAAAGCUCUUUCACCGAUGAAGAUAAUGACGGUAGUCGGAGAAGAAGCCCCGGCUAACUUCGUG
RNAcentral lists this ribosomal RNA (431 nucleotides) under uncultured bacterium. RNAcentral's name for it is "partial 16S ribosomal RNA". It matches the Rfam family "Bacterial small subunit ribosomal RNA", at positions 29 to 507 of the family's 1533-position model. The record is from RNAcentral.